CCGGGGUGAGUAAUGUCUGGGAAACUGCCUGAUGGAGGGGGAUAACUACUGGAAACGGUAGCUAAUACCGCAUAACGUCUUCGGACCAAAGUGGGGGACCUUCGGGCCUCACGCCAUCGGAUGUGCCCAGAUGGGAUUAGCUAGUAGGUGGGGUAAUGGCUCACCUAGGCGACGAUCCCUAGCUGGUCUGAGAGGAUGACCAGCCACACUGGAACUGAGACACGGUCCAG
RNAcentral lists this ribosomal RNA (230 nucleotides) under uncultured bacterium. RNAcentral's name for it is "partial 16S ribosomal RNA". It matches the Rfam family "Bacterial small subunit ribosomal RNA", at positions 104 to 334 of the family's 1533-position model. The record is from RNAcentral.